UCGCGGCUUAUCACCGGCAGUCCCCUUAGAGUGCCCAACUGAAUGAUGGCAACUAAGGGCGAGGGUUGCGCUCGUUGCGGGACUUAACCCAACAUCUCACGACACGAGCUGACGACAGCCAUGCAGCACCUGCGUCCACGCCCCUUGCGGGGAGGAAUCCAUCUCUGGAAGCCGUCAGGCACAUGUCAAGCCCAGGUAAGGUUCUUCGCGUUGCGUCGAAUUAAACCACAUGCUCCGCUGCUUGUGCGGGCCCCCGUCAAUUCCUUUGAGUUUCAUUCUUGCGAACGUACUCCCCAGGUGGUAUGCUUACUGCGUUAACUGCGUCACCGAUCCGCAAGCGGACCAACAACUAGCAUACAUCGUUUACAGCGUGGACUAC
This 379-nucleotide unclassified non-coding RNA is filed under the name uncultured bacterium. RNAcentral's name for it is "contains 16S-23S intergenic spacer region". The record is from RNAcentral.